UGAAGACAAAAUCAAAUUAGAGGAAAACGAUGCCAACAAAAUAGCUGAGCUCACAAUUGGACAGUCCGAGAAUGCUAAGUGGCUGUUGGCUCGGAAAAAUCGAUUAACGGCAAGCAAUUUUGCAGUUGUAUUGGCAGCCUGUAGUAGGCAGCGUUAUCCUCCCAGUCUUUUCAAACGUCUUUCAGGUGCAUAUAAUCUAGAAAAUAUAAAAGCCAUACAAUGGGGGAAGCUUCAUG
This is a long non-coding RNA of Coccinella septempunctata (seven-spotted ladybird), 236 nucleotides long. RefSeq lists it as uncharacterized. Lineage: Eukaryota; Metazoa; Arthropoda; Insecta; Coleoptera; Coccinellidae. The record is from RefSeq and is a predicted model, not a curated record. The transcript is spliced from 2 exons.